Long non-coding RNA from Oreochromis niloticus (Nile tilapia), 4835 nucleotides. RefSeq lists it as uncharacterized. The record is from RefSeq and is a predicted model, not a curated record. The transcript has 4 exons. Lineage: Eukaryota; Metazoa; Chordata; Actinopteri; Cichliformes; Cichlidae.
CUCCUCAAAAAUGAUUAUAGUUAUAUAAGUUUCCCUCCCACUCCCGCCGUCGUCAUGGCAACCCCCACCCCUCCUUUUUGAACGUCAGAGCCAGGAGCUGGAGGAUGAAGCCGCAUGCAGCUUCAGCGUCUCGUGCCUCUCAGAGAGCACCUGUGAUUAUUUUGCAGAGGAGGAGCAGCUGCUGCAGCGACGGAUAUCAUCUAAUGAGAGGUUCGGACUCUGGGCUGCUCUUCGUCGCUUAAAAAAUCGCCACCGAUCGAGCAGCGUCCACAGCCGGUAUGUCGUGGUUGUUCUUGGACUGGUUCGUCCCACUCUACUUGCUGGUGUCGGUGUUGGUGCUGGCAGGCUUCGGAGCGUGCCUGUACUUCCUAGAGCCCGGGUUGCAGGAUGCCCACAAGUGGAGCAACAAAACAGUCCGGCAUCACCCGCUGGUGGCCAGUGUGAACUGCAGAGAUGACGAUAGCAAUGCCCUGAUAUGAUCAAGAGGGCGAGGCGAAGCGGGAGGGCGGCUGACCAUCUGGACAGGGGUGCUGCCGCCGGGACACCCGUGGGAUGGGAGCCAACACCCAAACGACCGUGGAAGAAAAAUGGGAGAGAAAGGAUGAGAAAGGAGGGGGAGAUUAUCUGUUGUGUCUGAUAAUGCAAACCUUGUUCUAUAUCAUUCCAACUUUUCUCUGAUCUCUGCUGAUUUUCGUUGUAGAGGUGAGAGAAAAGUAAAGCAGAGACGUUUUUAACAUUCUUAAAAAUAAAAAUAAAAAAAGAAGAAGAAAAAUUAAAAAGCCAAAUGCACAAUGCGGAGAAGACUGUAUCCAGAUAGAGAUUGUGGGGUGAUUGGAGGAAGUGUUGCCCUUUAGAAAUGUGUUUGUAAAUUUCACGCCAUCCUAUACUUGUGCCAAGUUUUACACGCAUUUUGUAAUUUUGACAAUCACUUUGCAUAUCUCAUAAAGUUUACUUACAUUGUGCAUUUAAUUAGCUGAAGUGAGCGACAUAAGUGCAAUGACUUUGCUGCCAGCGGGGAGGGUUAUAAAUCCUCUCUCUGAUGUCGGCGUGGCAGCUGCUCAGACGCAUGUGGAUUGUUUAGUGCCGCUGUGCCAAAACGGUGUGUUAUUAGUGACUUACUUUAAACUGUUAUGUACCCAAUAAAUGCAACUGAUUCAUUUAAGGUGCCAAGAUUAUCCUAGAUGGACCAAGACGACUGACAAAUAGCCUAGUAUUUGGUAAAGUGUAUUUUUAAUUUUUUUGCUUUCUUUAUUUUCAUUGUUUUUACUUGACAGCAUGGUGAGAAACUGUGGGUGUGUAACGACCCUCUUUUAAGAAUCAUAUGCUUCCUUUGUUCAUACAAAAAUAAAACUGCUCAGUCCUCGCUUCUUUGUAUUUGCUGUUUCUAUGCAUGAAUAUCCACCCUAAAUAUAUGGUCUAAAGAUAUGUGCUUCUAAAUAAUUCAUAUAUAUAUAUAUAUUGUAAUAUUUUAACUAGCUUGUACUCCAGCAGCUGGGCUUGCUUAAUAUUUCCCAUUAAGGAUUUACAUUAAGCUUACAUUAAAGUAGUCACUUGAUAUCCUUUUAUCUAUAAACUCUCAGCAGCUCCGUCAAAAUUUCUCAAAUUGUUUUAAGUUACCUGACUUUUUAAGCCCUGACAAGAUAAAAUAUUCACAAAAGCAAAGGGCUUUGGAUUUUCUGCCCUCCUUAGUCAUCUCAACCUGGCUCUUUUGUAGGUUGAACCCCUGGUUUGGAAAGCCUUUGAAGUCCAAUAAUAUGACAGCCCAGAGCAGUAAAAUACUCUUUAUGCUUUGAUUCAGCAAUAUCAAAACUAUGAUAUCAUCUGAGCUUCAGUCAAAGAUUGAAAUGCAUGUUUGCUGUAUUUUUGUAAGUAAAUUUGUACUUUCAAUGCAGGACUUUCAUUUACAGUGCAGUCUUUCUAUAUAUAUACCUUCAGCUUUAAAACAAAAACAAAAAAAAGCUUACAAUACUACACCUACACUUUUGAAAAGCCCUUUAAACUCUGCUCAGAGUAGAUGCUUCGAGUUUGAAGGUCACUCACUCAUGGAGUGCGUAGAGUCUGUAAAGAAGAGGCUUUUUCAUUUAAGACAGUACGAGGAUAAAACUAGCUCUGCAACAGUUUGAAAUCAUGCUUAGAUAUUCAUAUUUUCUCUUGUAAUGCAGAAAAAACAAACUCUGACAGUGUAGUUGUCAGCAGAGUCAGAGGAGGUGCAUUCACAUUAUUAUGUGAAUGCAUUUGUAGGUGUGGGGUUGUUUGUCUAUAGUACCUUGUUACUAUUCUGCCAAGACUCUGCAGCUGAAGACGAUGUAGUAGCUAAAUCUGGUUUGAAGUACGAUGCAUCAUUUCACCUGUGACAUUAAUGUUCUUGUGACCGGGUUCUAUAAAAGCAUCAAACAUAAGUUAAUGGUCUGAGUGAUUCUGUCACUCAUAUUUUGCUCUAUAAUCAGACAAGCUUCACAGUGUCCCACGAACCAAAUCAAAUGAGACACCAGCGUGGGAGUGCAACAGUGAAGCCUCAGUGUCGAGGUAUGGAGAGAAUGGCACUCGUGUGCCCACUACUUCCUACUGCUCUGCUCCGAGUCUCACACACUGUGCCUUGUUUACUCUCUCAGUCUGUCAGCAGCAGACACGGGGCAUCAUCGCCACACGUCAGAAUGAGUGUUUUUAACCGUCUGGCACCUUUGAUCCCACAAGUACCUGACUCCAGCAGACAAACAAAGGAGCAUCCAAAAGUGUGUUUGUCACCUCCUCUGCCUCUUUCUUCUCCCGUCAUUAAGAAGAAAGCCAUUCAAAUCCCAUCAUUUGAUGAGAAGGGACUUAUCUUUGAAAAACACAACGCAAAGCCAUACACGGCGGACAGAUCCUUUGAUUCAAUUUGGACAUCCAAGACGCCCAGCCCGCCCUCGAGGAGUAAAUCAUGUCAGCAUUCACAGAGAAACCAUGGAGAAAGAGCUUCAACCCUCCCAAGGACCAAGCCUAAAACAUGCAACUCUCAGUAUCUCUCUGCAAAGCCCAGCACCUCCAUUUCUCCUUCUCCUAAGCCAAAUUCCUCUCCCACUCUUCCCGCUGUCAAACCAAAGCCAAGUGAUUCUCUUCAUCUUCCCGCCUCACAGGCGAGUGAUCUUUCUCCAUUACUGCACCAGCCAGCACCAAAGCCAAGUGUAUCUCCAACUCUGACAGUCCCAACACCCAGGCUAAGCCCAUCUCCAACGUCCCUUUGCCAAGGGACGAGCUCAGACGGUCAACCAGUAAAACAGCCUUCUCCUAUUGCAAAAGAAAGACGCGCUAAAUCUAUUCCCAUCUGUAAUGUCAAAGCGGAGACAUCGAAUGAGAUAAAGCAUGAAAUUCUUGACCAGGAUGCUUUACUGGACUUUACUCACCCUGAGAUGAGAAGAGGUCGUCCCAUUAUGAACAGAGAGUCUCAACAUCAGACUUACUCAGAAUCCCACAGACGCCCGGUCACAUCUUCGGAUCUUUGCUUUCUGCAAAGCAAACUUGGACUAAGUAAAAAAGAAACUACUGCCAAAGAUGAAGCAAAGGCUCUGCAAAGGAGUACAGACAUUACUGCAUUACCUAAACCAAAGUGGAACAUCAAUCAGCACCAGGAAUUUCAACCCAGUAGAGUGACAGGUACACAAAUAUCCACUAACUCUAAAGGCAUUAAGUCUGCUAACGUUGCUCACCGGGAGUCUCCAUCAGUGUUUGAUGGACCGGCCACUCUGUCAGGUCCUCAAAGAAAAUAUAAAGACUACCCUCAGAAGAGCAAUUACUCUCAGACCUUACAUUUUACCUCAGCUCACCCACCAUAUGAGCAACUGUAUUCUGAGAAAAAAGCAGCUUUACCCGUGACUCCUCAAACAUCCUUUUCCACUGAGCCUCUUUUUAAUCAGUCAGGCGUUUCGCCAAGCAUCGAGGCAAGGAGGAGACGGUUCGACCUGCACAGUGAAACAAGAUCAGAAGCAGCAUUUCUGUCAGCUUCUCGUCCCAGGAAACAGCAGGAAGAAAACAAUAAUCAGACAAUUACAGGAAACUCUCAUAAAAUCUUUCAUGAAACUGGUGCAUCUCAAAACAUCAAGUCCCCACAGAGACCCCUCAGGUUCCCGUCGAAGGCACAGAGUCAAACUGUGGAUGUAAGGUGUGCAGUGAGUCAGUCUCACUGUUUAUCAAAGGAUUACAGCUGCCAGUCAAGAGAAGCUCAUCAGAAAAUGGAGGCUUCCCACUGCACACACAGGUUAAAUCAGCUUAAGACAUGUCAGGUGGCACCUCAGACCCAGGAGGCCUCCCACCCUGCCUGUGGUGUGUGCACCACCUCACAAAGGGGAUCCUUUUUGAAACCUGACCUUCAGUCACACAGACGUGGCUUAGAUCAGGAACAGUCUCCUCCUCACAAAGAGAUGAAGGUCAGCAGUACAACACUGAAUCAAACAGACAUGUUAGCACCACCUGACCACCGUGGGGUGCCAGCAAAGCUACCAGAACGUCCCUCAGAGAAAUAUGCUGCAAGCUGGCCCCCGUCUGUAGCGCACUGCCCAUUCAGCACAGACAGUUUUGGCCUAAGCUCAAAGGGGGUCUUUGACAGAGUAUACCAGAGCCUGGAAAAGACAACAACAGCAACAACAGCUUCCAGUCUACUAAAUCAGCUGAAUGACUCUGAAAUAGGCAAAGUAUUUUUCUCAGAGGAAUCAGAAGACCCCUAUUACGUCACGAUGUAUUACCCAGGCUCAAUUUAUGUGGGUAAGUACAAAUAUAUUCAAGUCACCUGCAAGAUUUUAACAGAACAAACCCAGCGACAGCGCCUCUUUGAUGCCCCUGCUUUUAUUUGGAGUGGGAGUUGA